AGUCCGGUCGGGUGGUCUAGUCAGUCCAGUCGAGUGGUCUAGUCAGUCCAGUCGAGUGGUCUGACGGGUGAUCUAGUCAGUCCAGUUGGGUAGUCUAGUCAGUCCAGUCGGGUGGUCAAGUCAGUCCAGUAGGGUAGUCUAGUCAGUCUGGUCGGGUGGUCUAGUCAGUCCAGUCGAGUGGUCUAGUCAGUUCAGUCGGGUGGUCUAGUCAAUCCAGUCGGGUAGUUUAGUCAGUCCAGAUGGGUGGUCUUGUCAGUCCAGUCGGGUGGUCUGGUCAGUCCAGUCGGGUGGUCUUGUCAGUCCAGUCGGGUGGUCUAGUCAGUCCAGUAGGGCGGUCUGGUCAGUCCAGUCGGGUGGUCUAGUCAGUCCAGUGGGGUGGUCUUGUCAGUCCAGUGGGGUGGUAUAGCUGUGUGCUUGGAUAUGCAAUUAAGAUUACGAAAACAAAAUCUAUUACUUGUAACAUUUAGUCAGAUCUAAAGGGAUGGGUUAAAUGUCUGGAAAAAAGCAAAACAGACAACGAUUCUGUGCUAAAAGGAUUGUACACGUUCGUCACAACACGUGUUAAAGUCGAUCAAAAGACCGGAUUGUGGCCCAACAUUACCACCAGGAUGCUGGAGACAGUCAUAGAUGGGACAAAUAAAGAGAUGGGAUACCUGUGAUAGCUGUCGCGUAGUCUUUGUACGUAUAUGUAUCUUCUCUACAGGCAUAAGCGUUCUGCCUGAGAAUGACAGUGCAGUGGUAACGAACAAGAGAUGCACCAUCGAGAUGAUGAAGGUGAUCAAAAACAACAAUUAUGGAAAUUGCAGGGCUAUUGAAACAUACAUAAACUGUAUGCUUCGUGCUGUAUGCUCCGAGGAAUCCACAUUGCUCAAACGUUUUCAACAUUUCCUGAGGAACAAAGCUCUGGACACUCUUGAGCGCUUCAAGAACUCUGACUUGCAAACAAUAUGCAUCUGAGUUAGCAAAAUAAGCGUUUCAACUUUCGUAUCGGACGGUUUUUUAUCAACUUGUAAUCCUCUCGAGGGCUGAUGUAAGAUGUAAGCUCUUAGAAUAUGUUAGGAUAAUUUAUAUUUUAGUUUAUAGUCAGUAGUCGAAAGAAUGACCCAUUCUUGGCUUCUCCAUGUUAUCUGAUAAAUUUACAACUUGAAAGCUGAUUAUUAAAGAUAUUGCGAUCCUCAA
Nematostella vectensis (starlet sea anemone) is the source of this 1179-nucleotide long non-coding RNA. RefSeq lists it as uncharacterized. The record is from RefSeq and is a predicted model, not a curated record. The transcript has 3 exons. Lineage: Eukaryota; Metazoa; Cnidaria; Anthozoa; Actiniaria; Edwardsiidae.